Non-coding RNA from Pocillopora verrucosa, 754 nucleotides. NCBI's taxonomy places the organism in Eukaryota, Metazoa, Cnidaria, Anthozoa, Scleractinia, Pocilloporidae. The record is from RefSeq and is a predicted model, not a curated record.
GUGGAAACUUCAUAUCCUUGAACUGCGUACCUAUGUCUCCUAAAUAUGUCGCGACAAGACUUCCCUGCGGUGUAGUUUCGACCUUUCAAGAAAACAGAGAAAAUGACAGGUACUUGCUGAGAGCCAAUACCAAUACCGCGCACCAAAUACGGCAUGGAGCAUGGUGGGGACUCCUUGGACCUUACUCCAACGCGUGAUUUGAUCGGCCAUGAAGCUGGCCCGUGCAUGUUUAGGCCUUUUACCAAACAACCACUGUCGAUACCGAAUGGAAUCGUGAUCUUGGAUGAUUCCACUGGCAACAUCUUAAUCCCCUCGUGCAGAGCGGAGUGAAGUGAUUGAGCAGGAUAGUUUAGCAGAAUACUUGUGUAGUUCGUGGAGGAGUUUGCUUCAAAAUACAUGGUGACACAUAUUUUGGUGAAAUUUCUGAGCCAAUAUCCGGGAAGUUUGAAUUCACCUCCCUCCUUUACUGAUCGAUAUGAAGCUUGGCUGGUCCAGUGGUGAGAAUCAUAGCGCAAGAUGCUCUAAAAGGAUCUCUGGAACAUUUGUCCCUCUUGUGAUGCAAAGAGCAUUUCUUUGAGGCCAUGUCAAAUAUCGCUUCAUUACAACGGUUAUCUCUAUCACAUCGUAAUGCACACGCCAGUUCAGAACCAGCGCGGAACCCUUGAACGCCGAGAGAACCUCCAAGCGGAUCUUUCAGGAACGAAUAUUUGAAGUAAGAAGAUGAAUGCUGCUUUGGAUAGGAACAGCAGGCAAA